GGAUACAUGAAAUCACCUAUAGCUUAUUUUAAAUUUUUUUGCGCCAGGUUUGUGAAGUAAUUUACGCGCCAAAAAGUAGCAGUUCCAAAAACAAAAAAGCAUAUACGAUUUGCAAGAAUGAUAUGUUCUAUGUUUAUGGGAUAUUUCGUACAAACGAGAUGGAAAUUAAAGAAAUUGAAGCAUACUGGCACUUUUGCAUGCAUUUUUGACAGGCAUGCAAAGACAUUUGCAACAGAUGCCGGGAGAUACGUUGGGUGGGGGCGACAUACUGUAAGGUUCCAGCACAUUAGGGACCGUUCAUUAUUUAUACUUGGGGUUGGUACCGAAGAGAAGCGAAAAACACUGUAAAUUUUUUAUUUACCCAACCUCAACAAUGGUCAAAAUAAUGUGUACCCAACCCAUGUGUUACUGUACUUCAUAAUAAUUAAACACACAAGAUUAUGGUGACAGAAAUCAAGUUGCCUAAAUUCUAAAAGCUCACUCACACUCACUGAGUGUGCCAAAGCAAUCACGUUCUUGCUGAUCAAUGACAGAGUCCUUCCUCAAUCACAUAUAUGGUCUAUUUUGGUACAGAAUGUAUUGUACACAUUUUUCUUCAUAUUUUCAAUGCUUGGUAAUUUUGGUUUUAUUUUAUUUUAUAGCUGACAGACAGCCAUAAAUUUUUUUACCCAACCCAUGAGCUAGUCAAAAACUUGAUUACCCAACCAAUAUCUCUUCGGUACCAACCCCGGGUAUAAAUAAUGAACGGUCCCUUACCCUGAUCCAGGAAAUCCUGGCCACUACAUGAACGUGUUCAAGACUCCGAAUACGCUGAAUGAUGGACAACAACAACCUGUUGAUAAUUUCACCCCUAGAGCCAAUUUAAAAUGUUUUAAAGACGGUGCAUUUCAUCUGGCGCUAGUGAGGUGAAAGAAGCAGCAGAUCGGUAUUUUUGUUGAGGAGAAGCACAUGCUUGAGUAUAUCAGACAUCUUGAGGAACUGCAAAUUGUAUCUAUGAUAAGAGAGAAUUCCGGAUUGUACUCCUUCGAUUCCGAAUUCUAGAGGGAGGGGGGCAUUGAAAAUUUUAAAAACUUGGAGGGGGGCAUCGAAAUUUACCGAUAACCUCAACAGGGGCCCUGUAAAAAUAUGAGCUUUUUUCAAGACAUCUUCAUCCCCCUCCCUCGGUGUAAUAAAUGUACUUCCCUUAGCAUAAUAUAUCUAACCCAGAAUAAGAACAUCUAUACAAUGUGAGAGGUGCAACUUUAAAUAAUAACA
Paramuricea clavata is the source of this 1254-nucleotide non-coding RNA. NCBI's taxonomy places the organism in Eukaryota, Metazoa, Cnidaria, Anthozoa, Malacalcyonacea, Plexauridae. The record is from the annotation of a GenBank genome assembly.